RNAcentral lists this ribosomal RNA (396 nucleotides) under uncultured bacterium. RNAcentral's name for it is "partial 16S ribosomal RNA". It matches the Rfam family "Bacterial small subunit ribosomal RNA", at positions 523 to 917 of the family's 1533-position model. The record is from RNAcentral.
AUACGUAGGUGCCAAGCGUUAUCCGGAUUUACUGGGCGUAAAGGGCGUGUAGGCGGUCUUGCAAGUCAGAAGUGAAAUUCCUGAGCUCAACUCGGGCGCUGCUUCUGAAACUGCAGGACUUGAGUGCUGGAGGGGAUAGCGGAAUUCCUAGUGGAGCGGUAAAAUGCGCAGAUAUUAGGAAGGACACCGGUGGCGAAGGCGGGUAUCUGGCCAGUAACUGACGCUGAGGCGCGAAAGCGUGGGGAGCAAACUGGUUUAGAUACCCUGGUAGUCCGCGCCGGAAAGGGUGAAUCCUAGGUGUAGGGGGUAUCCACUCCCUCUGGGCCGCAGUUAACAAAUUAAGUAUUCCGCCUGGGGGGUACGGCCGCAAGGGUGAAACUCAAAUGAAUUGACGGG